RNAcentral lists this long non-coding RNA (256 nucleotides) under Elaeis guineensis (African oil palm). Its description in RNAcentral is "long non-coding RNA (EGUI_LNC025379)". Lineage: Eukaryota; Viridiplantae; Streptophyta; Magnoliopsida; Arecales; Arecaceae. The record is from RNAcentral.
AUGAACGAAGGAGGGAGUGCCUAUAAUUAGAGGAGAAACUUUUUUUUGUGUCGUAAUGUACCACCAAUCCUUGGCACAUGGAUGCCUCUUGAUGGUAAAAAAAGUUUGAGAAAGGGAGACAGAGGGUUGGACGUUGGCCAUGGCACAAACGAUCAAGAAGCCAAUGACAAAAUGAAAAAAAUUUGGAAUGAGAGUAGAAAGAGAGAUGCAAUAAAAUCAGAAGAGAUCGAGAAUAAAGAGAGAAAUGGGAAGCCAC